UAUGAAUGGUGUAGGGAACUAUUAGGUCGAUUCGUUUUGAUUCAUUGAUUGCUACCCUGCGGACUUAACGUAAACAUUUAAAAUAAAUUAUUUAAUCUAAUCUUUGUUCAACAAAAUAAUUAAUGAUCUUCUAUUUUACUGACUUUCUUAUUAAAGUAAUGCCGGGAGAUCGAUUCAAUUGCGCGGGAAUCUAUAACCACCAAUCUUAUGUUAACAUUGAAGAUAUUGACCAAUCAGGACACGGUAUUUUGAUAAGUCCGAUGAGGGAUUGGUGAAAACAAGAGGGGGAAGCGGAUGUAAGACCGAGUGAGGGACCGUUAAGAGAGAAGGCAUAAAACAAAGGGAAAGGAGAUUUUAGGGGCUUUUUCCGUCGGCAGAGCGUCGAGACAGUAGGGAAUUCUGUGAGUGUUAGUUUGUAAGGAAAACGUGUAAUAAGCUUGUUCACAGAUACGAGGUCUAGCAUCCGCCAUCAGAAGAUUCAAAGGAUGAAGAAAACCAACGGCUGUGACGGGCGAGACAUUGCAUGCGGCAUGUCGUGGCAAACUGAGCGUUGGCGCGAAAGACAGCAUCAUGCCGCCAUGAGGUUUCAAAAGAGCUACGUUUCACUGGUUCCGGGGUUACUUGUAUCGAGAGGCCUUGAGGACCCUUCUACAUGGACAUGCGAGUCUACAUGGAUGUUCCUGGGUGCUCCAGCCUGCGUCACGUUAUCGUCCUCUUGGGCCGCAUACAAAAUACAUCAGGCCAAGGUGCUCCCCGUCGGCAUCUAGCCAAGGCGCCGUGACUAGGACGUGUAAAUGCAAAAUGGAGUAUUACCGAAAACAAUACAAACGGUGCGUUGGUUCUGAAUUGAUAUUUCUCUUAAUCAUGAUUGAUUGAUUUCAUAUUUUGUGUAAAAUUUGACAUACUCCCCUAGGUCAUCAUACUGAGCAUAAUCUAAGCCUGGAUCGUGCUGUAAACGGUAAUUUAUUAUUUAUUUAAUUAAGAGAAGUAAUUUAAUAUUGAUAUCCCAUUUAUGGUAUGAUUAUAAUUUAUAAUUAAAUAUCGAAAUGAUGAUCACUCUAGGGUGUAAAGGUAAUGCCCAUAUUCUUAACCAUCUUAUUACAUUGUGCAGUAUUUAUAGGUUUCACGUUUUAUUUUAAUCGGAACUAUCAAACUAAACUAAUAAAAUAAAAUAAAUAAAUAGAUAUUAUGGUACACUUUUACAGAUUAGUCCUGCUAGGUCGAAGGAUUGUCUUGUGGGAACUCAGACAAUGACUUAUAUAUAUAAAAUAUAAAUACUUACAUACAUAGAAAAUAUCCCUGACUCAGGAACAAAUAUUUAGAUAUGUUAUAAACACAAUUAUAUUUCUAUUUCCGGUUCACGAGCGGUUGCGGGUGCGAGCCUGAUGCCAUCGGCGACAUGCAGAGCUUUACUACGGCGCUACGAUGGGCCUCCUCUGCCACGACGGGCGUCAGACGCAAGCUUCUUUACAACGAGCUACGCGUGAGCCACUCCGUCUUCAUCGUCAUGAACCGUGAGAUCUUCGGACAGCGGCCGUCAACCCUGACGCUAUAGUCUAUGCGGCGACCUAGAUGAUUUACUUACUUGCGUAGAAUGUAACUAUACCGCGUGUUCCGAGAUUUUAGGCGGGGUAGUUUUGACGUUAGGUACGUUUUAUUUACUUAAAUGAUUAGAUUGAUUGCGGCAUAUUUGUUUAAGAUUAAGACACGUGUUAAGCAUAUUUGUAUAUUUCCAUUAUUGCGGUUCAGCCACACACGUAUUUAUUAAUGAUAAUUAUUGAUUUACAUGUCUAGUCAUUGACUGUGAAAGUAGACGUUUCUCAUGACAAAUGAAGUUAUUCCUGACUCUAUUAUUGAUAUUGCGAGACCCUUUGAUUAUCUGGUAAAGCCAUCUGUUUGAUAAUUAAUAAUAUUUGACACCUACUUAAUGAUCAUGAUAACGUAUUCAUUUUAGAUGUAAGAUGUUAGGUACCAUAUAGUUAUGUAGGCGUUUAUCCAAUAUAUUUCGUAUCCAAGUUCUAAUAUAGCAAUUCACAUUUAUUUCACUAUAAGAACAAUAUUCAAAUACACACGAGUACAUACAUAGCUUCAAGCUAUCCAUAUAUCUAUAUUUCGCACACGUUAAUUCAGCUUUGGCUGGUUGCGAAUCAUGAAUCAUUUGCAGUGCAUUACAAUGACAUUGCUAAGGUGUAAUGUUAUAUUUAUAUUAACGCAUCAUUCAUUAAACAGAUUGGCAUAGAUAUUUAUGGUCUUACGUAAAAUUCAAUUUCGAGUCAGCAUGAUUCGCAAACAGCUAUUAUGCUAUGAAAUUCAGGAGUCAUGAAAUGCUAUUGUGGGUGUGAUAUUCGAUCAUUCGAAUUUUAUACGUACCCAAUUCACGUGUCAUAUUGAAUCGUCAUUUGACUGAGACUAUAUUUAAUACAUAUUUAAUAAUUUUAGUACGCCCGAUACGUCCAUUCGAAAAGUAUAUUAUAUUUAUUUACUAACUAAUUUGUAGUUGUUGAAACCGGUCACAGUGGCUUUAUUAAACACGUGGCUGUUUUAACAAUGAGGUAUUUUAGUCGUUAUUGGAAUUGUCCUUAAGUUGAUUUAUUCCAGCAAUGACAAGGUUUUGAGAUUACCCAUAUUUAAUUAUUUGAAUGUCGCUAAGCAACGGUUUUCAUCCACGUUGAUGGAAUACGUCAUGUGUUUUAUUAUAGGGCCCGUCCUAGAUGUCUAAUAAAUGGUCAAACCUUUGGUCUGUCCUCACAGGUAUAUCCUGUGUAUGUGUGUGUUAUUAGGGGUGUCAAGUACAUUGUUUGUGUAAAUUUAAUAUUCAUACAAAACGUAUACAUGGCGCUCCCCUCUAGGGACAUGUUCCCGCUGAGGGACAUGCUACGAGUGUCAGUAUUGCUGCUCAUCGGGAUGUGGCGAGAUCCGUAUUAAUGACGGCUAUGUCUUUCCAGAUCCUUCUGAGACGUUUAUUGUCCUCACAGGACGAGAAGUUUGGGUAUUUCAUUUGCUGGUAUAAGCUAGCUUGUAUUGGAGUCAAUGUAAUACUCAAAUGAUUGGUGGUCUGUUUAUCUUAAAUUUUAUUAGACAACUAAACGACAUUGAGGAUUGCUUCGGUAUGACUCGGUGUUGGGGACAACCAACCGUGUUUUAUUUAGUAUGAUUCAACAUGGAUUUAAACCGUAUUUUACACACUUAGCUUUUCUUAUUUUAAUGGGUAAAGGUAACAGAUUCUUAUUCAACUGGCAUAAUUUAAUAAACAGUUAUAUUGCGCGAUGUUACAGUUGAUAACAUAAUGAAAUGGCUGAUCUCAUGAUAUCAAGGGCAACGCUUAUAUUAUUGUCUUGUUUAUGAUCGUUCAUGGGUGCUCAUGUCACAUACUUAUUUACUUAUUUGGUCCCAGUUUCAGUACUCGAUAGUCUGAACCUUGCGUGAAAUAUUCCAUGUAGGCGACGGGUCUACGGUAUUGCAGACGGUGCGGGUCCAAGUGACUAUAAUACCAUACGUAUGGAUACUUUCACGUAGGGACUUGCGGCUCCGACAUAUUAACAGCACCCAUAGUAACGAUAUAUGCAUGAUAAUUUUAUGAGAUCUCAAGGUUUGCUUAAAGUUGACUGCAACCAGCUAUUUUAUAUAACGAUAUAAGUUUAUUUUAAUAUAGUCGUGAUAAGCCAGAUUUAUCCAUCGAUUUUAUGGAUUUUAUGACAUAUUUGUGUUAUUGAUACUUCAAUCAAAAUAAACACUAAUCUAUUUUAUAUAUUAGCUGAAGAAUAUUUCAGUGCAAUAUAUUUUAGAAGUAUAUAAAUCUGAGUCCAUCUGGUUUUAAUUAAGUUAUACUUUCAUUCGCGUAAUGUUUCAAUGAUACCAUAAUGAAAUGGCUGAUCUCAUGAUAUCAAGGGCAACGCUUAUAUCAUUGUCUUGUUUAUGAACGUUCAUGGGCACUCAUGUCAUAUAUCAUACUUUUAUGUCCCGGUUUCAGUACUUGAUAGUCUGAACCUUGCGUGAAGUAUUCCAUGUAGGCGACGGGUCUACGGUAUUGCAGACGGUGCGAGUCCGAGUGACUAUAAUACCAUGCGUAUGGAUACGUUCACGCUAGGGACUUGCGGCUAGACAUAUUCGUAAUGCCCAUGAACGACUUAUGCAUGAUAAUUUUAUGAGAUUUCAAAGCUUGCCUUAACGUUGACUGCAACCAGCUAUUUUAUUUUAAGAUAUAAAUAUUCGUUGGCCUAAUCGUGAUUAGCCAGAUUUAUUCGUCGAUCGUAUCGACAUUAUAACAUACUUAUAUGUUAUUCAACUUCAAACUCAACAAUGCUAACAUAUUUUAUGUAUUAUCUGCAUAAUUUUACCUAAUUUAAUUGAAUUAUUUCCCAGUUGGUCUUCCCAGGUUAAUCAUUUAAUAUCUUCAUGGUUUUCUUAUCAUAAUAUCUCCCACAAUAGCAUUUUAUAAGAUUUUAGUUUCGUUGAUUAUGCCAUAUAGUUAGGAGUAUAGAAUUAUACAUUUGUCUGUAAUUAAUAAUUAAUUAAGUCACCUCUAGGAUACGUAUAAUGCUUGUUAGAACAUAUCACUGUUUAUAUCGCUAGCAUGUCUCACACCUCAGGAGCUUUGGUUACUAGUUGCCAUAACGUAGUCCAUAUUACCCUAGAUGAUUUUGCCAUAUAUUGUUUGUGUAUUUUAAUAUGCUUUACUUCUUUAUCCGUAACAUAUUUUAUUAUGCUUGUGUACAGGUUAAACUUGGGCAGUCAGGUUUUUGUUUCCGUCUACUUUUCCUGACGUAGGGACUUGGCCCUAGUAAUGAAGGCGGUGUAUUCAAAUAGGUCCUAAUCAGACUAAAUUGAAUACAGAGUUAUAGUAAUUAUUUUCUGACAAAAAUAUAAAUGAUUAUAGAUACAAUAAAUCGAAAUGUUUUAGUAUCCAA
Long non-coding RNA from Leguminivora glycinivorella, 4907 nucleotides. RefSeq lists it as uncharacterized. The transcript has 2 exons. NCBI's taxonomy places the organism in Eukaryota, Metazoa, Arthropoda, Insecta, Lepidoptera, Tortricidae. The record is from RefSeq and is a predicted model, not a curated record.